RNAcentral lists this ribosomal RNA (402 nucleotides) under uncultured bacterium. RNAcentral describes it as "bacterial SSU rRNA". It matches the Rfam family "Bacterial small subunit ribosomal RNA", at positions 28 to 424 of the family's 1533-position model. The record is from RNAcentral.
GACGAACGCUGGCGGCGUGCUUCAUACAUGCAAGUCGAACGAGGUCCAACUGGUAGCAAUACCGGUGAAGACCUAGUGGCGAACGGGUGAGUAACACGUGAGGAACCUGCCCCGAAGACCGGGAUAACAGUGGGAAACCGCUGCUAAUACCGGAUACCCCCACCGGAUCGCAUGGUCUGGUGAGGAAAUGGAUUCCGCUUCGGGAGGCCUCGCGGCCUAUCAGCUUGUUGGUGGGGUAAGGCCUACCAAGGCGACGACGGGUAGCUGGUCUGAGAGGACGAUCAGCCACACUGGGACUGAGACACGGCCCAGACUCCUACGGGAGGCAGCAGUAGGGAAUCUUGCGCAAUGGGCGAAAGCCUGACGCAGCAACGCCGCGUGAGGGAUGAAUGCCUUCGGGUU